CAAACAAAAUUUCUUGAUUCUCCGGAAGAACCCUGUCCCUUUCUUUACUGCUCCAGAAACCUAAUUAAGUCUUAUCCCCCUUUCUGUUCCUUAUCCAAAAACCAAACUCACUCUCCCUUUCAAUUCCUUCUCUAAAAACCUAUCUCAUGCGUCAUUUUCCUUUCUUCUCCGGUUAAUUUAGGCUUCCAAAAAUUCCAUCUUGCAGAGAACAAGGUGAAAAAUUAAAAUAACAGGUAUGUUGAUUUUCAUUAUUUGAUACAAAUGGAGACAAGAACGAUGCCAUGCGGUAGUUAACCCACAUGUAAUCCAAAAAAGGGUAUGUAAAAUUAUUUGCUUUUAGGCCUAAAGACUUCAGCUUGUAAUCCAAUUAUACACAAAAAUCAUACUUUUUCCAUGUGGUAGUUAACCCACGAAGCAUGACAUUGAAGGCAUAAAUAUUGGGUUUGGUGAGUUGAUUAAAAACAAGGGAUGCUUAGGCCAAGUCUUUGAGGUCAAUGAUUUUGGAAAGAAGGAAACUGGGUUUUGGUACUGAACAAAUAAGCAUUUGUGUGUGGAUUUGUUUUAAUAGGUUUUUGAAUUUGCAUUGUUUUAUCAGAGACAAAAGCUUUUCAUUCAGGGUUUUUUCUUGCAACACCAGUUUGAUUUCUUGCAUUUUCUCAUCUAGUCACCAAUUAACAUUUGACAGAUCAUAUGAAACUUUACCAAGAAGUCAGGGAACAUCUCAAAUCUUCUGCUUAACUUUUUGAAUGAUGCAUUCUGAGUGUCCCUAGUUCUCAAGGCCAUGAUUAUAGCAUAGAAUUUCAAUUUAUUUAUUUUUGCUGCUGGAAUGGGGUUUAGCUAUGAUCAGCAGCUAAGAGACGAUCCACACAGGGUCCCAAUCAGUUCAAAGAGAUUUGGAGCAGGGUUGUCAGUUGAAUGAGGCAGAAGUAUGGAAAGCUAACCAAAGAUUGGAACUUGCCUGAAUCUAUCAUAUAUCUUUUUUCAUCUGUUUUGUUAUGGCAUUGCUGAGUCGUAUCAUAUGUUGAUUUUUUGGGUGGGCAAGGAUAUGGCAGUGUUGGGAUUCCCUGGUCAAGAAUGGCUUCCUUGUGAUUUUUGGAUUAUGCAUUUUAGAAACCAGAAGCUUUGCUAAACAAAGCAGUUUCGACAGUUUUAGGUUUAUGAAUACUGUGAAAUGUAGAUAACUUUUUGAUGCGUUUUUAAAUUUAUUUUUAUUUGACUUA
Populus trichocarpa (black cottonwood) is the source of this 1220-nucleotide long non-coding RNA. RefSeq lists it as uncharacterized. Lineage: Eukaryota; Viridiplantae; Streptophyta; Magnoliopsida; Malpighiales; Salicaceae. The record is from RefSeq and is a predicted model, not a curated record. The transcript has 2 exons.